Long non-coding RNA from Drosophila montana, 1548 nucleotides. RefSeq lists it as uncharacterized. Lineage: Eukaryota; Metazoa; Arthropoda; Insecta; Diptera; Drosophilidae. The record is from RefSeq and is a predicted model, not a curated record. The transcript is spliced from 2 exons.
CGGCUGCUGAUGCUGCUGCGUCUGUUGGGAUUUUCUGCGUGCUGGCGGUCCGUGCACCAUUUUGUGACCUUAUCCUGUGGAAUGUACGUGUGUGUGUGUGUGUGUGUGUGUGUGUGACUGGCUCACUGCCCUGCGGCGUUUGUCUUAAUCUCGACCGCUGUGGCUGCUGCUCAAGGUGUAUGUGUAGAGAAGUUCCUUAUCUGAGCUGCGAUUUCGACUGCAGCGGCUGCUGUGGCAUGUUGUGCGGGCCGUCUGAAAUGAAUUUGAAAAGCAAUUAGAUAUGGAAACAUCGUAUCAGCAUAAUUCGCAAUAACUGGUACAGUAAAACAAUUAUAAACAAAGAUGCUUAAGAAAAUGUCAAGGAAAAGUCGUGCAAAACAUAAAUUCAAGUAUAAAUUGCUUAUAAUUCUCAAGUGGUUAUAGCUUCGGAGGGAGGACAAGGCCUUGCAAAUCUCGAAUCGAUUGCAAACGAGAGCUUCUUGAUAUCUGCUCUCUCCUGGUGUUUAAACCUGCUUGUUGUUGGUAGACACAUUGUGUCAAAAGUGAAAGAGGUGGCAAUUCUGUAAUUUGAGGCAUGCAUUGUUGAAACUGGAUAAGAUUUAGUUGAUUUUCUAUAUCGUAUAGCUGAUAUAGCUAGAGUUUAGUGUCAUUUUUGGCAUAAAUUUACAAAAUUGAUUAGGUUUUAAAUGCCUUUUUAUAUAUUUUUAAAUCUUUUUGUAAAUUAAAGAUAAAACCUAAAAUAAUUUUAAUUUUUCUUAAGAUAUACAGGACCAUAUAUGGAGAAUAUGACAAUUGUUUCACAAUUCAAAGCAGCUCUGGAGAAGAGGUGUCAAUAUUCAAGCCACGACUGUAAUUUUUGUCAGCCAGCUUAAAUUUGAGGUGCUGCCAAUUUAGCGAUUGCGGCGUUGCCACACAUUUAACCGUUGACAGAUCAUAACUAAUUAAAUCAAAACUCUAUUUGUCAUUGAAAAUAUUGACGUUGUUUAGCAGAAUCGAAGAAUUCAUUAAAUGCAGCUGUCAUUAAAUGCAAACGGAGACAGAUAGAAAUGGGAGCUGUUGUUGCUCCGCUCAGUUCGUUCAGUUCGCUGAUGUUUGCAAAACCGAAUCGAAGCGGUUAUCAGGUUGAGGCGCCACCUUCUGAACUGCCCGUCAAUCGGGCGGCGUAACGCUGACGAGUCAAAACAAAAACAAAUACUUUGCUUGGACCCUGGCAGAGAGAGAGAGAGAGAUUGAGAGAGUAUCUGUGAAGUCCAGAAGCUUCGUUGAUUUGCCAUUGUUGUUGUUGCUGGGCUGCUAUCAGCGGCCUCUUGAACUGCGCGGGCGCGGUCGGGCGCUCAAAUAGAGGGGAGGUAGAGGUGGGCCUCUGACAUGAUCCGAUCCGAUUCAAACCGAAACCGAAACCGAGACAAAUCGUGCAUCAAAACAAAUGGCAAAGUAUAAAAACAGUUUUAUUUUUAAUUAAAACUCAUUUAUAGAUUGCCUUUGAUUAUCAGGCCGCUAGACCCCCAGCGUUUGUUUUGCUGACAAUAAAAUAUAUACAUAAAUAUA